Small nucleolar RNA from Coffea eugenioides, 107 nucleotides. Lineage: Eukaryota; Viridiplantae; Streptophyta; Magnoliopsida; Gentianales; Rubiaceae. The record is from RefSeq and is a predicted model, not a curated record.
AUUUGGUGUUGGGGGCAUUUGAUGCACAACUUCUUGAAUCGCUUCCAGUACUCAUAAAACGACUCCCUCGGAUGCUGCUUGAUACCACAAAUUUCUUUCCUUAAACU